Molecule: ribosomal RNA, 492 nt
Filed under: uncultured bacterium
Lineage: Bacteria
Description: partial 16S ribosomal RNA
Rfam family: Bacterial small subunit ribosomal RNA
Source: RNAcentral
AGUGAACGCUGGCGGUAGGCCUAACACAUGCAAGUCGAACGGCAGCACAGUAAGAGCUUGCUCUUACGGGUGGCGAGUGGCGGACGGGUGAGGAAUACAUCGGAAUCUACUUUUUCGUGGGGGAUAACGUAGGGAAACUUACGCUAAUACCGCAUACGACCUACGGGUGAAAGUAGGGGAUCUUCGGACCUUGCGCGAUUGAAUGAGCCGAUGUCGGAUUAGCUAGUUGGCGGGGUAAAGGCCCACCAAGGCGACGAUCCGUAGCUGGUCUGAGAGGAUGAUCAGCCACACUGGAACUGAGACACGGUCCAGGCUCCUACGGGAGGCAGCAGUGGGGAAUAUUGGACAAUGGGCGCAAGCCUGAUCCAGCCAUACCGCGUGGGUGAAGAAGGCCUUCGGGUUGUAAAGCCCUUUUGUUGGGAAAGAAAAGCAGCAGGUUAAUACCCCGCUGUUCUGACGGUACCCAAAGAAUAAGCACCGGCUAACUUCGUG